ACGACCUUACUUGAACAGGAUCUGUUCUAUAGGCUCGUACUUCUGUUACCUUUAGCACAAAGAUGACAGGAUUCCAAGUUUGGUUGAUGAACUGAGACUGUGCGAUCAGAGCGUGAUUAUUGGUCUUGCCUUCCUGUUGAUGGUUGGCUUUGGCUGCAGAGGAUCGUUCUUAUCCAGCUUGGUCUGGCUGAGAUGGUCACACAGUUGUCUGACAAACU
Molecule: small nucleolar RNA, 218 nt
Organism: Gossypium raimondii (Peruvian cotton)
Lineage: Eukaryota; Viridiplantae; Streptophyta; Magnoliopsida; Malvales; Malvaceae
Rfam family: Plant small nucleolar RNA U3
About the family: Small nucleolar RNAs (snoRNAs) are involved in the processing and modification of rRNA in the nucleolus. There are two main classes of snoRNAs: the box C/D class, and the box H/ACA class. U3 snoRNA is a member of the box C/D class.
Source: Rfam